CCAUGAAAGGGACACUAGAUAUUUAGUCUUUGGUUGAUACUAGAAUUAGUUGCGGUGACCAAUUGGCAAACAUCCUUGCCUCAGUGUUGUACCUGUCUUUCUCAUAAUUACAGGAAUUGUGUGACGAGACAUCAGUGGCUGUGACUGAAUGCAGUGUGAAUCCUUCCUCAUCAGUGAAACAGAAAGAAAAAGCCAAAUGAAUCAGGAUGAAACUGAGAACUCCAGAGAGACCAAAUUGAGGAGAAUUGCGAAAAGGCCAUGGAGCCCAAAUGAAGUGAAUGCUGUCAUGAAACAUUUCAGAGUCCAUAUUUCAAAGGGACACCUUGCAACAAAGGCAGAGUGU
Molecule: long non-coding RNA, 343 nt
Organism: Rhinichthys klamathensis goyatoka
Lineage: Eukaryota; Metazoa; Chordata; Actinopteri; Cypriniformes; Leuciscidae
Exons: 3
Source: RefSeq, a predicted model, not a curated record